Molecule: small RNA, 574 nt
Filed under: Pongo abelii (Sumatran orangutan)
Lineage: Eukaryota; Metazoa; Chordata; Mammalia; Primates; Hominidae
Description: retained intron
Source: RNAcentral
CAUUAUUCUAAUCUGUGUAUGGAAAAAUCCCAGAAAAUUAAUCCUUUUAUAUUGCAUAUACUCCAAGAAGUGGAUGAAGAAAUUAAAAAGGGGCUAGCAGCAGGAAUCACAUUAAACAUUGCUGGUAACAAUCGCUUAGUGCCAGUAGAAAGAGUUACAGGUGAAGAUUUUUGGAUUCUUUCCAAAAUUUUAAAGAAUUGUCUGUAUAUUAAUGGUUUGGAUGUUGGAUAUAACCUUCUAUGUGACGUUGGUGCAUACUAUGCUGCGAAACUGCUUCAGAAACAACUUAAUCUCAUUUACUUAAACCUCAUGUUUAAUGAUAUUGGGCCCGAAGGUGGAGAAUUGAUUGCUAAAGUGCUACAUAAGAAUCGGACUCUGAAAUACCUAAGAAUGACUGGAAACAAAAUUGAAAAUAAAGGUGGAAUGUUUUUUGCUGCAAUGCUGCAAAUUAAUUCAUCCUUAGAGAAAUUAGAUCUGGGUGACUGUGAUCUGGUGAGUAAACUGGUUAUGAGAAAAUCAUCCAGAUAGUGGGUCAUUAGAGAACAGGUAAAUGAGAGUCUUAUGAAUGAUUAAU